Molecule: transfer RNA, 73 nt
Filed under: Anaerolinea thermolimosa
Lineage: Bacteria; Bacillati; Chloroflexota; Anaerolineae; Anaerolineales; Anaerolineaceae
Also listed under: 1 other name
Rfam family: tRNA
About the family: Transfer RNA (tRNA) molecules are approximately 80 nucleotides in length. Their secondary structure includes four short double-helical elements and three loops (D, anti-codon, and T loops).
Source: Rfam by way of RNAcentral
GCCCUCAUAGCUCAGUAGGUAGAGCGUGCCCUUGGUAAGGGCAAGGUCAUGGGUUCGAAUCCCAUUGGGGGCU